AUGCAGGCCUUGCAAAAGGUUUGCAACUGGAAUGAGUACAAUUUAAACCCCUUAACAAGUAACAAUUGGAGGGCAAGUCUGGUGCCAGCAGCCGCGGUAAUUCCAGCUCCAAUAGCGUAUAUUAAAGUUGUUGCAGUUAAAAAGCUCGUAGUUGGAUUUUGGGAUCAAGAAGACCCGGUCUGCCGGGAGGUGUGUACUGGUUUUCUUAUCCUUCCUUCCAGUUGCUUCUAUCUGCUCUUAACUGAGUGGGUAGUUUUUAAGCUCUGGAUCGUUUACUUUGAAAAAAUUAGAGUGUUCAAAGCAGGCCGUUUUGUGCCUUGAAUACAUUAGCAUGGGAUAAUAGAACAGGACUUCUUACCUAUUUUGUUGGUUUCUAGGAGAGGAGUAAUGAUUAAUAGAGAUAGUUGGGGGUAUUCAUAUUUAAUUGUCAGAGGUGAAAUUCUUGGAUUUAUGAAAGAUGAACUUAUGCGAAGGCAUUUAUCAAGGAUGUUUUCAUUAAUCAAGAACGAAAGUUAAGGGAUCGAAGACGAUCAGAUACCGUCGUAGUCUUAACCAUAAACCAUGCCGACCAGGGAUUAGGAGACGUUACAUGGAUGACUCCCCUAGCACCUUGCGAGAAAUCAAAAGUCUUUGGGUUCCGGGGGGAGUAUGGUCGCAAGGCUGAAACUUAAAGGAAUUGACGGAAGGGCACCACCAGGAGUGGAGCCUGCGGCUUAAUUUGACACAACACGGGGAAACUCACCAGGUCCAGACAUAGUAAGGAUUGACAGAUUGAGAGCUCUUUCUUGAUUCUAUGGGUGGUGGUGCAUGGCCGUUCUUAGUUGGUGGAGUGAUUUGUCUGGUUAAUUCCGAUAACGAACGAGACCUCAGCCUACUAAAUAGUUAUGUGAAUCUUCUACUCGGGUGAAGCUCUUCACCUGAGGUGGGUUUAGGCCUAUCUCGCUUGGGAAGUGGAUCCUUGAUGUAUUCAUAGUUAUACUUCUUAGAGGGACUAUUCAUGUUUAGUGAAUGGAAGUUUGAGGCAAUAACAGGUCUGUGAUGCCCUUAGAUGUUCUGGGCUGCACGCGCGCUACACUGACUGUUUCAACGAGUUUAACACCUUGGCCGAAAGGUCUGGGUAAUCUUUGAAAGGCAGUCGUGAUGGGGAUAGACGAUUGCAAUUAUUCGUCUUCAACGAGGAAUUCCUAGUAAGUGCAAGUCAUCAGCUUGCGCUGAUUACGUCCCUGCCCUUUGUACACACCGCCCGUCGCUCCUACCGAUUGAAUGAUCCGGUGAAAUCUUCGGAUGAGAAAGUACAAUUAUCGGGGCAACUUGAUAAUAACUUUUUCAGAAGUUGAUUAAACCUUAUCAUUUAGA
RNAcentral lists this ribosomal RNA (1356 nucleotides) under metagenome. RNAcentral's name for it is "SSU rRNA". It matches the Rfam family "Eukaryotic small subunit ribosomal RNA", at positions 483 to 1777 of the family's 1831-position model. The record is from RNAcentral.